Molecule: long non-coding RNA, 5704 nt
Filed under: Oryza sativa (Asian cultivated rice)
Lineage: Eukaryota; Viridiplantae; Streptophyta; Magnoliopsida; Poales; Poaceae
Description: long non-coding RNA (OSAT_LNC001788)
Source: RNAcentral
UCACUUCUCAAGAAGGGCUACUGCCUACACAGUGCAGUUUCAGCUGCCAAACAAUCUUCAGUCUGGUUUGUGCUCUUGUAAUGAGCUAUUGUGCUGGUGCCUGGUGGUCAUCUCACCUGCCUGUAGGAAAAAAACUCUCUAAACUGAAGCAAUUAAUUGAUCAAGAUUGCCUGCAAGAUAAUUGAGUAAAGGAUUAGAUUAGGCAUCAUGCUAAAUUAUUGAAAUCGUUGCAUUAAUCAUAUACAUUUUAAGAGAUUAUUUAAAUAGGUGUAUAACUGAUAAUUCUCAUGAUCAGAUCCUAAUCACUCGAAAAGGUGCAUCACAUGGACUCAGAAGAAUUGCAUCUAUUUUUAGAAAGAAUAUUGUUUGCAGUGCUCUUAAUCUCAAUAUUUCAUUUUUACCAUUUGAAUUUUGUUCUUGCAACUGGGGUCUGGAGGCAGUAGAAUGGUAAAAAUGAGAAUGCCAUUUGCCUAAAUCAAUGCGAACAAACCUUUUUUCCCUCAUGAAUAUUGAUCUGAGCUAAAGCUUGCAUCAAAAAUUAGCUUCGAAGCUGGCAAUUGGCACCUCUAAAAAUGUUUUCUCAACUAAAAGAACGACAAACAUAAAGGAGAAAUGGUGUUGUACUAAAAAUAUUGCACAAAGUAAUGUUUGUGAAAUCGUUGUCAUGAUUAAUGUUUGUGAUGAAUAAUUGGCUAUGCAAAUGAUUUAAUUAGUGAAUUGGUUUGGAAAGAUGUGUGGAUGUUGGUGUGAGUGCGUGUGACUAAUGUGGGUCAGGUUGUGAUAUCUAUGCCCAGGAACAGUUGUUUUGUCUGAUUGUGUACAGGUGACUUGAGGUCAGCCUUGGUCAAUGGUGAUGUCUGAUUGUGUGCAGGUGAUUUGAGGUCAGCCUUGGUCAAUGGUGAGGAUCGGGACUAUGUUCAGGGAGGAACAUAGGUCUAGUGCGGUCAGGAUACCAUGUGAAAAGGUGACUAGAGUCAGGAUUCUUGGAGGUCAACUUCGGUCAACGGUGGGGACCGGGACUAAACUCAGGGAGAAGUUGAGGUCCAAAUGGUCAAGGAUACCGGGUGACGAAGUUGAAUACAAGAUGGCACACGGUGGAUGGACACCGUGUGUGAGAGAUCUUCGCAACGGGUUUUAUGAGGUGUGCGUGCAAGCGUCGGUGUUCGCGAGGAGGAAUGAGAAAAGAUGGAGAUGUACAUGUACGGUGGAGGGCAUGGUUGCUACAGUACUCGAUGUACUGUAGCGUGUAGUUUGCAUGAACGUGAUGUACAUGUGUGCAGGUAGCAUGCAUGUAUGCAGGUCCGUGGCUUGGACUGGGAGGAGCAGCAGUGGCUCGGUUGGAUGGCAGGCCGAGUCGGCCCAGGCGGCCAGGAGACCGAGUGCGAGCUGGCGAAGGAUCGGUACGGAGGCGUCCGAUCCGGAGCAGGAUUUUCCAUGGCUGGUACGGCUGUGGUUUUGGAGAAAAGGAAAUUGAGGAAUUGAAUCCUGUUGGAAAUAGAAGCUCUACACCUAAUUUGACACCUACUUUGAGUAGGGGAUUUUUACGGUAUAAAUAGAGAGGAAGCGUGAGGCUUCCUGUAUAGCUUUUCAUAGCAAUUGAGUUUCUAGUUUAGUUAGGGUUUCGAGUUUAGUCGAGAUUUUUGUAAGGAGUGCUGUUGGUGCACUUUGUAAACACAGAGAGAAGCAAUAAAGUUGUCAUCUACUUUGAGAGUUCUUCGAUUUGUGUUUCUUCGGGUUCAGGCGGCAGGGAGGCGAUCUAACCGGCGGCGUGCGAGCGGUCCGACCGGCGGCGACAGGACUACGUCGAGAUUUCCAUCGAUUUGAGGGUAACUUUUAUUUCCGCUAAAAGUUUUUGGGUUUUUGGUUUUCCUUACCAUUCACCCCCAUCUGGUAGGCUUGGUUACUUGUGUUCGAUCCUGCAAGUGGUAUCAGAGCCUCGUUUUCUUCUUUGGAUUUUAACCGAUCUAAAGUUUUUGCCAUAGCUAAUAAGUUUACAACUAAGCCCCAUGUUUUCGAUGGAACGGAUUUUCCUUAUUGGUGUAGUAAGAUGCAAUCUUAUAUUCAGGCUGAGGAUCUUGAUAUUUGGAGGAAAGUUUCUAAUCCUUAUGUGAUUCCGGAUCAAAUCAGUACUGCUGCUUUAAAAACUGAAUUUGAACAAAAUUGCAAAAGCUCGCAAUAUUUUAUUGAGUGGGAUUUCUCGUUCGGAUUUUGAUCGUGCUUCACAUUUUCAAACUGCUCAUGAGAUUUGGAACGCUUUGAAAAAUUUUCAUCAAGAAACUUCAAAUAUUAAAGAACUUCGUCGUGAUCUUUUUAAAAAGGAGUACAUUAAGUUUGAGAUGAAACCUGGAGAAGCUUUGGAUGACUAUCUUUCUAGAUUCAACAAAAUUUUGAGUGAUCUUAGAUCGGUUGAUUCUGCUUAUGACAAAAAUUACUCUCAAUCUGAAGUUUCUCGUCACUUUUUGAAUGGUCUUGACAUGUCUAUUUGGGAGAUGAAAUUUACAUCAAUUCAGGAGUCUGUCGAUAUGUCUACUUUGAUUUUGGAUUCACUUUACACAAAACUGAAAACACAUGAGAUGAAUAUUCUUUCUCGUAAAAUUGAUUCUAAUUCUAGUGCUUUGGUUUCUUCCUCGACUUCUUUGGAUGUUGGUGCUUCUUCAUCAAAUUCUACUGUUCUUGCUUUGAUUAAUGCCAUGUCCGAUGAGUAACUCGAACAGUUCGAGGAGGACUUGGUUUUGGUUACUAACAAACUUUCUCGAGCUGUGGCUAAUGUUAGGUACAGGAAAAGAGGUGGACCAAAUCGUUGUUUUGAAUGUGGUUCUACGGAUCACUUUCGUUCACGAUGUCCUAAGCUUGGGAGAGGCAAGAAGGAAGAUGAUGGUAGAGUUUUGGAGAAUGAAGUUGACAAGAAGAAGAUCACGAAGGAGAAGAAGAAGAAUUGCAUGCAGUGGCUAAUCCAAGAAUUAAUAAGAACUUUUGAUGAAUCGGAGGAUGAAGAUGAGAGCAAAGGUAAGCAAGUUGUUGAUCUAGCUUUUAUUGCUCGUAAUGCAAGUUCUGAUGUUGAUGAAUCUGAUAGUAAUAGUGAAGAAAAGCUUAGUUAUGAUCAAUUAGAAUAUGCUGCUUUCAAAUUUGCUAAAAAACUUCAAACAUGUUCUAAUAUGCUUGAUGAGAAGGAUCACACUAUUGAGAUUCUAAAUGCUGAAUUGAUAGAUUAAAAUAUUUGAUUCCUAAUGAUGAUGACUGCAAAUCUUGUAAAGUUUUAUUUUCUGAAAUUAAUGCUUUGCAAGAUGUCUAUUCUGUUAAUUGCAAGAAAUUGGAAUCUGAGAUUGAAAAAUCUAAAAAGUUGGAGUCUUCUUUUGCUCUUGGAUUUGCUUUGCAUGAUCGUGUUCUUGAUGCGUUGAUUUUGACAAAAAACGUUUUGAAAAAAGUUUUGGAGGCUUGGUUACUUGUGUUCGAUCCUACAAUGUUUUGGAGCAUUUAGAUAAAUUUUGUACCCCAUUCAUAUGUGCCUUCAUGAAUUCCAUCGAAGAACUGUAACCCAAUUAGGCUGUUUGAAUAAACUCUUUUCACAAAGAAGACCCCUGACCUGCACUGUUUUGUAUUCAACGUGGUGAACAAAACAGUGGAAUCAUAGCAAAGUGUAGCGCUAAUUUGAUAGACUAUCUUUGAAACAAUAAAUAUUGCUGUGUAGAAUUAACAUUGAAAUGUAUAUAUCCUAUAAUGACAGUGCCACAAUUUAUCUCUGAUCAUAUGAAAAAAACAUUUAGCAUAAAAUUGAGAAAAAGUGAUAACGCAUAUGACCCUACACCAAUCGUAAAAUAUAUCAUCUUGUAAGCAAGAUGGGUGGGCAAAUUCAUUAAUACUAUAAUUUUUCUCAUGAAGGAAGAUUAAUGUGCAACAAUUUUUCUCCAAUCCUCACAACAUUUUUUUCCCGAGGUCAGCCAUUUAUAAAAUUAAGCAUGAUCUCUUCGUAUUGUUUUUUUGUCGACUAAAUUUGUUGAUAUUAUAGAGUAAAACAAAAAUUUAGGUUUACAGAACAAAUAUUAGACUAGAUUUAUGAUCAUGUUUCUUACUAUGAGUGGCAGGAGCGGUCCAUGGUCUUCUGAGUUUUUCCUGAUGACCAAGGAUGAUAGCAUCACGUUGAAGACGAUAGGAUCUUAUUUAUUCUUUUUCCUUGGAUAGCUCCUGCACAGCAUACAAUGAGAAUCAUCAUUUUGCAAACUUAAUCAGAGUAAGAACAGUAAUACCAAAGUGAUAUUUGCAAUGCGGAUGAAUCUCAAAGUUCAAUUAUCAAUCUAUAGUUAAAGCAACAUAAUAAAAAUGUAAUACCAAAGCCUGUAUCACAUCACGGAGUUCCCAACCAAAGGAGAAAUGGGAAUUAGAAUACAUGAAGAAGAAAAGAUAGCGCCAAAAUCAGAACUGAAAAGCUAAGAUAAUAAACAUGCUUUACUCAUUUUAAAUAGCUAUGGAAGAUAAGUACUAUCAUAAACUGCACUGCGCAGUUUCUUUUAUAACCAUAAUUUCAGCACGUAUCUAGUUAAAUAGAUCGGACGAGCAUAUGAUUAAUCAACCCAUCUAGAUAUAAUUAAAAAAUCUUGGUCCAUGUAUCUGGCUCUUCGAUUGUGCAUGCAGUCUAGCUAGAUCAACUCAUUUAUAGUACGAGUCAUCUACUGAUAUGGCUUUUUUUUUUGCCCUUUUAUGGCACCAACCAUGGAGUACUGUAUAUGGUAGCCGUUGCAGCAUGCUCUGUUGCAAUCAAUCUGAGAAAACAGCUCGUUAGUCUUGAGAAAACAAAGCAUUGUCCUAUUCCAAACAUUGGCACACAAUCAUGUAAAAAUACCAAAAAUGAUAUAAACAUACCUAACAAAAUCAACAGUUCAGUUUUUAUUUAUUCAUCACUCUGGCAUCUCGCAAGAGGGCAAAGGCACAGAAAGAAAAGGCACGACCAUCCAUCCAUACAAACCAAAUUGUCCACAAAAUACAAUCAACUUUCCGUAUCACCCAAUCAUAAAAUCUAGUCAGCUCCCAUUAUUUUAUCGAUUUUAUUGUUCUGAUCUUAAAUUAACUCGGAGAUAACAUGAAAGAUCGAAAGGCUAAUUCUGACAAGUGUGCCCCUUAAACAGUAAAGUCCAUAGCAAAAUGAUGCAACUAUAGGAUACCUAGACCACGCCAAUAAACUGGAGGAAAAAUUAAGUUCCCAAAAAAUAUCAAGGGCCACAAGAAUAGUCUUUCAAAGAGAGUAUAAAACACAAAUCUCUACAGUGGGCUAAAGGAAGGGUUGAAGUCAUUCAAGUGCAUAUUCACCAAGGUACUGUUUGUACAUAUAAUUGAAACCAAGAAACAACCAAAGUAAGAAAAUAAUCUCAGUUACAACAAUAAGUAAGAUUUUGAUGUAUCGAGAGCUAGGAGUACUUGAAGAUACUUUCCUCACACAGUGAACAUUAAACAAAAUCGAAACCCUUCCAGUAAAUCACACAGUGAACUCACCUUCAGUUUAAGAAGCACAAAAGGAACACCUUCCAGUAAAAAAUCUGCAGAGGAUGUUGUGUUCUAGAAUCGGAACCCUCAAUUCAAGGAGUUGUGCAGCAAUGAGUUACUUUCAUCUGGGAGCAAAUUAAUCAAGCAUGACAAAAGGUAUAUAUAUGGUUCAUGUUUGCAACUCCACCCUCUCUUCUUUCCUCCAUGAUGGUCUCCUUCGAAAAAAAAC